Molecule: non-coding RNA, 256 nt
Organism: Eimeria maxima
Lineage: Eukaryota; Apicomplexa; Conoidasida; Eucoccidiorida; Eimeriidae
Source: Rfam
AGACCUGAAAUAAGUCGAGGUUACCCGCUGAAUUUAAGCAUAUUACUAAGUGGAGGAAAAGAAAAUAACAAUGAUUCCCCUAGUAAGGGCAAGUGAAGCGGGAAGAGCUCAAAGUGAAAAUCGUGAGUCCCCUUUUGGCCUCACGAAUUGUAGCCUCUAGAGGCGUUGCCACUGGGCGGGCAGGUCUAAGUUUCUUGGAAUAGAACAUCAGAGAGGGUGACAGUCCCGUCCUUUGUCCUGCUUGUUGUUGCCUACG